Octopus sinensis (East Asian common octopus) is the source of this 121-nucleotide long non-coding RNA. RefSeq lists it as uncharacterized. The transcript is spliced from 2 exons. NCBI's taxonomy places the organism in Eukaryota, Metazoa, Mollusca, Cephalopoda, Octopoda, Octopodidae. The record is from RefSeq and is a predicted model, not a curated record.
UCAUUAGCACACUGGGCGAAAUGCUUAGCAGUAUUUUGUCUGCCACUACAUUCUGAGUUCAAAUUCCACUGAGGUCAACUUUGCCUUUCAUCCUUAAAGAAUCAAUAAAAUGCAGUAUCAG